RNAcentral lists this unclassified non-coding RNA (414 nucleotides) under uncultured fungus. Its description in RNAcentral is "partial contains 5.8S ribosomal RNA and internal transcribed spacer 2". The stretch from base 1 to 133 matches the Rfam family "5.8S ribosomal RNA", at positions 22 to 154 of the family's 154-position model. Lineage: Eukaryota; Fungi. The record is from RNAcentral.
UGGCUCUCGCAUCGAUGAAGAACGCAGCGAAAUGCGAUAAGUAAUGUGAAUUGCAGAAUUCAGUGAAUCAUCGAAUCUUUGAACGCACCUUGCGCCCCUUGGUAUUCCGGGGGGCAUGCCUGUUUGAGUGUCAUGUUAAUCUCAAACCGCCUGUCUUUCUUAAUUGAAGACUCGAGGGUUUGGACUUGGAGGUUUAUUGCUGGUGUCCCCGAGGCUUCACUUGCCAUGGGGUUCGCACUGGCUCCUCUGAAAUGCAUGAGCUAGACUUUGGCUCGCGUUUACGGUGUAAUAGUGACUAUUUUCACCAGAGCGCCUGCCUAAUAGGUCUGCUUCUAAUCGUCCUUCGUGGACAAGGAUCCCUGAGUGGCCUUCUUUGACACCUUUGACCUCAAAUCAGGUAGGAUUACCCGCUGA